RNAcentral lists this ribosomal RNA (120 nucleotides) under Brasilonema octagenarum HA4186-MV1. Its description in RNAcentral is "partial 16S ribosomal RNA". It matches the Rfam family "Bacterial small subunit ribosomal RNA", at positions 1 to 130 of the family's 1533-position model. Lineage: Bacteria; Bacillati; Cyanobacteriota; Cyanophyceae; Nostocales; Scytonemataceae. The record is from RNAcentral.
AAAACGGAGAGUUUGAUCCUGGCUCAGGAUGAACGCUGGCGGUAUGCUUAACACAUGCAAGUCGAACGGAGUUCUUCGGAACUUAGUGGCGGACGGGUGAGUAACGCGUGAGAAUCUGGC